This 253-nucleotide ribosomal RNA is filed under the name uncultured bacterium. RNAcentral describes it as "partial 16S ribosomal RNA". It matches the Rfam family "Bacterial small subunit ribosomal RNA", at positions 524 to 776 of the family's 1533-position model. The record is from RNAcentral.
GACAGAGGGUGCAAACGUUGUUCGGAAUUACUGGGCGUAAAGCGCGUGUAGGCUGCUCGGAAAGUCGGAUGUGAAAGCCCUGGGCUUAACCUAGGAAGUGCAUUCGAAACUUCUGAGCUUGAGUAUCGGAGAGGGUCGCGGAAUUCUCGGUGUAGAGGUGAAAUUCGUAGAUAUCGAGAGGAACACCUGUGGCGAAGGCGGCGACCUGGACGAUAACUGACGCUGAGACGCGAAAGCGUGGGGAGCAAACAGG